RNAcentral lists this long non-coding RNA (1548 nucleotides) under Papio anubis (olive baboon). RNAcentral describes it as "lncRNA (ENSPANG00000039558.1)". Lineage: Eukaryota; Metazoa; Chordata; Mammalia; Primates; Cercopithecidae. The record is from RNAcentral.
AUGGUCCUGUGCACGGUUAAAUCGGAUUUGUUCACCUGCCUGCCACCUUGGUGUUUCCCACAACUGCCGCCAGGGGGCAGCAGCUCCUCGCUCUGUUGGCCCCUGUCACCGAGCUUCCCAAAAAGAGCUCUAAUGCCCGCCUCCGCCCUCCCGCCGAUGUCGUGCCUCUGUCCCCGAAUCGCUCCCUGGGCCCGGGCCUCAGACUCUCUGGACCCUUAUGCCGUCCUUAAGUGUUCCCCAGCUGACCUGCUACCGUGCUCUGCACGGGCUCUCAAAACGCCACCGCCUUGCAGAUGGAAUCCACAUCAGUCCCAAAAGCCAGCCAGGAACCGGGAGCCCGGAGCCCGGAGCCGGGUCUCUCCGCAGUGGGCUCGGAAUUCCCCACCUCACAGUGCGCUCACCCGUUGUCCGCUGCGGGCGGCAGGCUGGCAGCUUCGCGCUCCCAGGUGCACCCGCCCCGCCAGCUCUUCGGAAAUGGCCGGGCGCCGUGGCCUGGACGUCCUCCCGCCCGAGUGCCCUGCCGGGCGCUGCGGGCCCAGUCCGGGAGGGGCGCCACAUCUGUAUGCGCCCCGCAGCCCAGGAGCGCCGAGGGGGCGGACGCGCGGCGCCGCCUCCGCCCCCGCCGCGCGGGCCCGGCUGGCCGGGGAGGGUCGGAGGCUGGGCUCUUCUCUCCCGCGCGGCGCGGAGCCGCCUCGUUUCUCCGCAGGCGGAGCCUCCUUCCCCCGCCCCCUCCGUCUCGCUCCCUUGUUCUCGCCGGGGCCGCUCAGACCUGCAGCGGAGCCGCGGCGCCCGCUCCAAUCGGCUCGGGGCUGCGCCCCCGGGACCCGGCGACGGGGGCGGGCGGGGGUGCUUCCCGCCGGCCUGGGCCCCUCGGCAGUGCCAGGUAAGGGCGCCUGCCCCGGAGCAGGGGUCGGGAAUCCGCGGAGGGGCAGCAGGGGGCCCGCAGCCCGGGGGUCUUCGGAGGGGUGCGCUCCGUGGCUGGGAACCCGCUGCCGACUCCCUUCUCCCGCGCUCUGCCUCUUUCCCUUCUCCCCUCGCACCUCUCUGCCUCUUUCUUCUCUCGAUUUCUCUUCACCCUUCCUUCUCUGCCUGUUUGCCUUCCUUAUCCCUUCCCUCUAUCUCCCAACCCUUCCCUCACCCUCUUGUCCUUUUUCCAUCUCCUCUCCCUCUUUGCCUUUUUCUUUCUCUACCUUUCUCCCCUUUGCUGUCUUUCUCUUUUCUCUUUCUUGCUCUCCUUUCCCUCCCUCUCCUCUCCCCUUCCCGCUAUCCUGUUUCCCACUCCUCUAUCUCUUUCCUUCUCGCCUCCUCAUCCCGCCUUCUCUCUGGUCCCCAGCUUUCCUCCGGCUUCCCCCUUCCCUCGGGAGCAAAGGGACUGUCAGGUGUGUGUCUGCUCUGAGGGAGGAGGGGCAGAAGCCACAGCUACCUGAGGGGUCCCCCCACCCACCCCUGGGAGAAAGGACAGCAGUGGGAAGGGUCUCCUCUCUAGCUCCCUUCCCGCGGCCCCUCCCUGCCUCCACCCCUCCUGUCUGCUCCUUCUCCCAGAAUUAA